UUAGCCUACGGGGCGCAGCAGUGGGGAAUAUUGGACAAUGGGGGGAACCCUGAUCCAGCGACGCCGCGUGAGUGAGGAAGUAUUUCGGUAUGUAAAGCUCUAUCAGCAGGGAAGAAAGAAAUGACGGUACCUGACUAAGAAGCCCCGACUAACUACGUGCCAGCAGCCGCGGUAAUACGUAGGGGGCAAGCGUUAUCCGGAUUUACUGGGUGUAAAGGGAGCGUAGACGGCGAUGCAAGUCUGAAGUGAAAGGCGGGGGCCCAACCACCGGACUGGUUUGGAAACUGGAUGGCUGGAGGGGAGGG
Molecule: ribosomal RNA, 305 nt
Filed under: uncultured bacterium
Lineage: Bacteria
Description: bacterial SSU rRNA
Rfam family: Bacterial small subunit ribosomal RNA
Source: RNAcentral